CACGCCUGGGCGGCAGGGCUGGGAACGGAACCCAGGCCUCGCCAGGCCUCCCACCGAGUGGAGGGAAGCAGGAGCAGGGCGCUGCACAAGCCAGGCUCCCAUGAAGGGAAGGAAGGCAGGGAGGAUGGGCACAGAGGGCACAUCUCAGAACAGCACUCUUAGGAAAGCAACAAGUGCCAGACAAGCAGGACAUGAGCAAGGAGCCCUGGGAACAGCCUUCCAAGGCCAUGCAUGGAACCAGGUGAGAAGCUUCAUGGGACUCAACAUCCAAGCCCCACAGGAGCAGUGCCUGACUGGGACCCAGGGCAGGGCUGCGAGGCCUCACCUGCAUGAAGACGCACUACCUGUGGCUGAGGUGUGCAGGUGGAGGGCUCUGGGCAGUAAAAUGCCUCCUCGAAACUAACAAAAGCUCCUUCCCACCCCCAGGAACCUUGAAAGUACUCCUGCAGCAGGAACACCACUUACAGGGGCACAAGCUGGCCCCAGGACUCUCUGCUCCCAGCAUGGAGCUUUGGGCAGUAAGGAUGGCCUCAUUGCUCAUGAUAGGCAAGCAGAGUCACGCCCCAGACCAGCUGACCAUGUGAUUCCUUCUUGGAAAGUGACCUUCACAAGCCAUCCCAAACCAGCCCAGGGACCACGUGCUCACCAGCUGGAGUGCCUCCAGGUCAGUGUGCAGGGUACCUGGGCCACGGAGGGCCUGUAGGGGCCCAAUAUACUCUGUCAGUCUUCAGUAGUGUGGGUUGGGCGGGGGUGGGGUGGUGCUGCGCCCCUCCCCUGACUCCCGAAAAGGCAAGGCCCUACUGAGGUGGAGGGCACAAGGCGUCCAUCCUCUGGAGGAGCGCAAUGUUUCUG
Molecule: long non-coding RNA, 852 nt
Filed under: Marmota monax (woodchuck)
Lineage: Eukaryota; Metazoa; Chordata; Mammalia; Rodentia; Sciuridae
Source: RNAcentral